UUUGUACUCCCUUCGUCCCAAAAUUCUUGUCUUAAAUUUGUCUAAAUACGGAUGUAUCUAGUUACAUUUUAGUGUUAGAUACAUCCAUAUCUAAACAAAUGUAAGACAAGAAUUUUGGGACGGAGGGAAUACUAC
This is a non-coding RNA of Triticum aestivum (bread wheat), 135 nucleotides long. The record is from Rfam. NCBI's taxonomy places the organism in Eukaryota, Viridiplantae, Streptophyta, Magnoliopsida, Poales, Poaceae.